This 232-nucleotide ribosomal RNA is filed under the name uncultured archaeon. Its description in RNAcentral is "partial 16S ribosomal RNA". It matches the Rfam family "Archaeal small subunit ribosomal RNA", at positions 494 to 725 of the family's 1478-position model. The record is from RNAcentral.
GGCGCUGUUUUUGGGCCUAAAGCGUCCGUAGCUGGCCGCACAAGUCCGUCGGGAAAUCCGCCCGCUCAACGGGCGGCCGUCCGGCGGAACCUGUGUGGCUUGGGACCGGGAGGCCUGAGGGGUACGAUCGGGGUAGGAGUGAAAUCCUGUAAUCCCGCUCGGACCGCCGAUGGGGAAACCACCUCAGGAGAACGGAUCCGACAGUGAGGGACGAAAGCCAGGGUCUCGAACC